Molecule: ribosomal RNA, 77 nt
Filed under: Staphylococcus aureus
Lineage: Bacteria; Bacillati; Bacillota; Bacilli; Caryophanales; Staphylococcaceae
Description: partial 23S ribosomal RNA
Rfam family: Bacterial large subunit ribosomal RNA
Source: RNAcentral
ACCCGCACGAAAGGCGUAACGAUUUGGGCACUGUCUCAACGAGAGACUCGGUGAAAUCAUAGUACCUGUGAAGAUGC